GAACUUUCUGCUAGUUCUCUAAAGGAAUGAAAAUAACCUUGGGUUCUCACUAAGCAUCAAUUCUGUGACCGGCUCUGUGGGGUAGAGAUGAAAAGGCUCACUCAGUUCCAGCCCCUGCAGAGCCCCCAGGACCCUGGCGGCAGCAGAUCUAUGAGCCCACAUUUCCCCACCCUUGUGAGGAUCACACCGAGAGAGACAUUCACAUCCUGGCCUCACAAAGAAGAGAUGACAAAGUGGAAAAAGGCUGGAGUCCCCAACCCUGAGCCCUUUACCCUGCUUCAGUCCUUUAUAACGAGGUGUGUGUGCUUGGGCAAUGCCUCUCUCUUCUGGGACUCAGUGUACCCAUCUCUGCUGUGGGUAGGUUGGACUAGAUGAGAGUUUCCCAAACUCCAGUUGUUUCUUUCCCUCCCUCCACACCUGGAGAUCAGAACACCUGUACUAAAAAGUACUGAAAAUCUUUAUUCAAAUGAGCUCACUUUUUUUUCAACCAAAAUAAACUUAUUUUAGA
This 508-nucleotide small RNA is filed under the name Pongo abelii (Sumatran orangutan). RNAcentral's name for it is "sense intronic". Lineage: Eukaryota; Metazoa; Chordata; Mammalia; Primates; Hominidae. The record is from RNAcentral.